UCUCUUCCUUCUCUCUAAAAACCUAAACUACCCGACCCGACGACGGAAUCCCAACAAAGGCAAUCUGGUGCACAAGGAUGAUGUCCGGUACUGGUAUAAAAAAUGGUUGGGAGCUGGAGAAGCCAUUGUUGGAUAUGAGAAUUUCACCCGUGAUGGAUUGAUCUGAGCGAUUACCUUUGGAUGAAGUAUUUGAACAAUUGAGGACAUCACCAGCAGGGUUUUCUUCUAAAGAAGCUGAAGUUCGACAUAAGAUAUUUGGCCUUAACAAACUGGAAGAAAAGAGAGUAAGCAUCCAGUCUCCCUUCUAGUUAAGCUUAAAGUAUGAGGACUGAGAGUUACAUGCAUUUGAAUCUUAAUACUUGCACUCAAUAUUAGAGGGGAAUUGAAAUGAACUCAACUACCGUGCUUGAACCGGAUGUGUAAGUCACUAAUGCAUGUAUAACUUCUUACUACUAGUAACUCACUGAAGCUUACGGUUGUGUCUCGCAAAAUCUCUAAGGGAGAUUAAGUCUUCCAAGGGGUAAUCUACCAAAUGCUCAAUACAUCAAUUGAAGUUCUCAUAAUUGCUCAUGUCCACUUGAAGUCAUAUUCCCUCAACAAUGGUGGCGUUGUCACACUCUCUUCCAAAUUUGGUCUCUUCCGUCAUAG
This is a long non-coding RNA of Impatiens glandulifera, 648 nucleotides long. RefSeq lists it as uncharacterized. Lineage: Eukaryota; Viridiplantae; Streptophyta; Magnoliopsida; Ericales; Balsaminaceae. The record is from RefSeq and is a predicted model, not a curated record. The transcript has 3 exons.